This 542-nucleotide ribosomal RNA is filed under the name uncultured Glomeromycotina. RNAcentral's name for it is "SSU rRNA". It matches the Rfam family "Eukaryotic small subunit ribosomal RNA", at positions 548 to 1096 of the family's 1831-position model. The record is from RNAcentral. Lineage: Eukaryota; Fungi; Glomeromycota.
UUGGAGGGCAAGUCUGGUGCCAGCAGCCGCGGUAAUUCCAGCUCCAAUAGCGUAUAUUAAAGUUGUUGCAGUUAAAAAGCUCGUAGUUGAAUUUCGGGGUUCUACCGUUGGUCGGGCUUUGUCUGUACUGGUGUGUAGAAUUUCUACCUUCUGGGGAACCAUCAUGCUAUUAAUUUAGCGUGGUGGGAAACCAGGACCUUUACCUUGAAAAAAUUAGUGUGUUCAAAGCAGGCUUAUGUCUGAAUACAUUAGCGUGGAAUAAUAGAAUAGGACGGUGGUCCUGUUUUGUUGGUUUCUGAAUCACCGUAAUGAUUAAUAGGGAUAGUUGGGGGCAUUAGUAUUCAAUUGUCAGAGGUGAAAUUCUUGGAUUUAUUGAAGACUAACUUCUGCGAAAGCAUUUGCCAAGGAUGUUUUCAUUAAUCAAGAACGAAAGUUAGGGGAUCGAAGACGAUCAGAUACCGUCGUAGUCUUAACCAUAAACUAUGCCGACUAGGGAUCGGACGAUGUUAAUUUUUCUUGACUCGUUCGGCGCCUUACGGGAA